UGCAGUCGAACGCGAAAGGGCGCUUUUGUGCCUGAGUAGAGUGGCGCACGGGUGAGUAACACGUAGACAACCUGCCUUCGGGUUCGGGAUAACCUUUCGAAAGAAGGGCUAAUACCGGAUAAGACUCUCGCUUCGCAUGGGGCGGGGUUAAAAGGGGUUUCCUGCCAGGAGAGGGGUCUGCGGGACAUUAGCUUGUUGGUGGGGUAACGGCCUACCAAGGCGAUGAUGUCUAGCGGGUCUGAGAGGAUGAUCCGCCACACUGGAACUGAGAUACGGUCCAGACUCCUACGGGAGGCAGCAGUGGGGAAUUUUGCGCAAUGGGCGAAAGCCUGACGCAGCAACGCCGCGUGGGUGAAGAAGGCCUUUGGGUCGUAAAGCCCUUUUCUGGGGAAAGAGCAAAGACGGUACCCCAGGAACAAGCACCGGCUAACUCCGUGCCAGCAGCCGCGGUAAUACGGAGGGUGCAAGCGUUGUUCGGAAUUACUGGGCGUAAAGGGCGUGUAGGCGGAUUUGCAAGCUGGGGGUGAAAGGCCAGGGCUCAACCCGGGACCAUCUCCCAGAACUGCGUAUCUAGAGAGAGUCAGAGGCAGGUGGAAUUCCUGGUGUAGAGGUGAAAUUCGUAGAGAUCAGGAGGAACACCGGCGGCGAAGGCGACCUGCUGGGGCUUUUCUGACGCUGAGGCGCGAAAGCGUGGGGAGCAAACAGGAUUAGAUACCCUGGUAGUCCACGCUGCAAACGAUGAGCACUCGAUGUGCGAGGUUUACGACCCCUCGCAUGUCACAGCU
Molecule: ribosomal RNA, 785 nt
Filed under: uncultured bacterium
Lineage: Bacteria
Description: bacterial SSU rRNA
Rfam family: Bacterial small subunit ribosomal RNA
Source: RNAcentral